Molecule: long non-coding RNA, 312 nt
Organism: Pseudophryne corroboree (corroboree frog)
Lineage: Eukaryota; Metazoa; Chordata; Amphibia; Anura; Myobatrachidae
Exons: 3
Source: RefSeq, a predicted model, not a curated record
CAGCUUCAAGAUGAGGUCUCUGGGAUACCUGCUGCUGUUCUCCCUUAUCGUCACCCUGACGUCAGGGGCGUACCUGGCUCGACCAAGGUGUCCGCAACAACUUCCUGAUGUAGAUUUUGGAGGCUGUCAGCAAAGGAAUCAAUGCGCACAGGAUACCGAUUGUGGGAGGAGUCAGAGCUGCUGUAAAUCUGGGUGCAGUUUGCAAUGCUUAAGUUUUCUGAAUCCCUUUUCUGGAAUGUUUAGCUGGCUCUCAAACAUGGGUGGUGGUUGUUCAGGUUGUGGGUCGUCAAGCAGUGGAUGUUCAGGCUGUGG